UGGGGAAUCUUGCGCAAUGGGCGAAAGCCUGACGCAGCAACGCCGCGUGCGGGAUGACGGCCUUCGUGGUUGUAAACCGCUUUCAGCAGGGACGAAAAUGACGGUACCUGCAGAAGAAGCCCCGGCUAACUACGUGCCAGCAGCCGCGGUAAUACGUAGGGGGCGAGCGUUGUCCGGAUUCAUUGGGCGUAAAGAGCUCGUAGGCGGUUCAGUAAGUCGGGUGUGAAAGCUCCGAGCUCAACUCGGAGAGGCCACCCGAUACUGCUGUGACUUGAGUUCGGUAGAGGAGCGUGGAACUCCUGGUGUAGCGGUGAAAUGCGCAGAUAUCAGGAAGAACACCGGUAGCGAAGGCGGCGCUCUGGGCCGAAACUGACGCUGAGGAGCGAAAGCGUGGGUAGCAAACAGG
RNAcentral lists this ribosomal RNA (406 nucleotides) under uncultured bacterium. RNAcentral describes it as "bacterial SSU rRNA". It matches the Rfam family "Bacterial small subunit ribosomal RNA", at positions 355 to 776 of the family's 1533-position model. The record is from RNAcentral.